CCUACGGGAGGCAGCAGUGGGGAAUAUUGGACAAUGGGGGGAACCCUGAUCCAGCGACGCCGCGUGAGUGAAGAAGUAUUUCGGUAUGUAAAGCUCUAUCAGCAGGGAAGAAAGAAAUGACGGUACCUGACUAAGAAGCCCCGGCUAACUACGUGCCAGCAGCCGCGGUAAUACGUAGGGGGCAAGCGUUAUCCGGAUUUACUGGGUGUAACGGGAGCGUAGACGGCGAUGCAAGUCUGAAGUGAAAGGCGGGGGCCCAACCCCCGGACUGCUUUGGAAACUGUAUGGCUGGAGUGCUGGAGAGGUAAGUGGAAUUCCGAGUGUAGCGGUGAAAUGCGUAGAUAUUAGGAGGAACACCAGUGGCGAAGGCGGAUUACUGGACUGUAACUGACGUUGAGGCUCGAAAGCGUGGGGAGCAAACAGGAUUAGAUACCCGAGUAGUC
This 443-nucleotide ribosomal RNA is filed under the name uncultured bacterium. Its description in RNAcentral is "partial 16S ribosomal RNA". It matches the Rfam family "Bacterial small subunit ribosomal RNA", at positions 338 to 795 of the family's 1533-position model. The record is from RNAcentral.